This 2021-nucleotide long non-coding RNA is filed under the name Elaeis guineensis (African oil palm). RNAcentral's name for it is "long non-coding RNA (EGUI_LNC068336)". The record is from RNAcentral. Lineage: Eukaryota; Viridiplantae; Streptophyta; Magnoliopsida; Arecales; Arecaceae.
GUACCGAUACAGCGAACACAGCCUAAUACUCUUCGAAAAUCAUGGUAAAGGCCAUCCUAUCAUAGGAGACUAUGGUGGAAGGGAUGCCUACAUGAAUCAAGAGGAAGAACCACGAAAAAUUUAUCGAUUUUGAAAACCAUUUCCAAAACAAGUUAACCCUAAAUUGUUAGAUCUAAAAUUAAGAUGCUAAACGAUCUUGAAAAGGUGUUUUCAAUUAGUUUUAAUCUUCUUUUUAGAUCUGAUUUACAUGUAUAUGAUAUGUGCUUAGUUAGUUUUAGAUUUGAAUUUUCAUAUAUGCGAUAUAUGAUAGUUAAUUCUAGAUCUAAAAUAAAUAUAUAUGUAAUAUAUGACAUUAAGUUUAGAUCUGAAAUUAUUUCGAGAUCAUAAGCCAUAUUCAUGCACUUAAACCUAAUCAAAAAAAUUAUUUUUAAAAUCUAAAUUUUAGAUUGUGCAUGAGGGUAUGGAUUGAACAAUUAGAUCUAGUGAUUGAACUACAAUUAGGGUUUUUGAUUAGAUCAGAUUAAAUCCUCAUCGAUUUGAGUAGUCGAAUCGAAUCAAUAGUUGAUUAGGAUUAGAUUAAAGGGGCUCAAGAUCGAGCUUACUUAUAGCUGGUCACAUCGAUUCACAUUUUGAUGCAAACUGAUUAACUUAAGAUCGAAUUGGCUCAGUGGAUCGAGCCUGAGUAGCUAGACUGACCCAUUCAAUUUUAAUUGACUGAUUGGUGUCUAAGACAAGUCUCGACCGAUGAUUUUUAAUUGGGAGCAUGCUUACCUAGUCAUUCCGAUGGUAUCUAAGGCAAGCAUCGGCUAUCCUCCUAUCAAUCUCACUUACCUAACUAAUCUGGUCGAUUAAAUUUUGCAUAAGGUUGCUUAGUCAUUCAUGUUCACCAAUGUCGACUAGGAUCGUCAGAUAUGAGAUGUGCUAACCUGAUCCUGACUAAUCAGACAUGAGAUGUGCUAAACUAAAUCAAGUUAAUCACACAUGAGAUGUGCUGAACUAAACCAGAUUAAUCAGACAUAAGAUGUGCUGACCUAAACUAGAUUAGUCAGACAUAAGAUGUGCUAAUCUGAACUAGAUUAGCCAUUUACAUUAGAUGUAUAUGACUACGUAGAAGAGACUUAAAUCAAAUCUCCCCACAAAUAUUAAGUCCUAGAUCUUCCACUGUUGUAGGAGUGCGGACGUCUAACUGGUGUUGAUUGUUCUCAGCUAGUUAAAAUGGUUCAGUUGCAUCGAAAAAAUGCAACCAUCCUAUUAACAUGAGAUGUUGUUAGGUACUGAUGGGGUUAGGCUCAAUAAACGAGCAUAUUGACGGAUCUAAUGAUGGAUUUACCUAUGCGUUGAACGAUGAGUCUAACUUAACUAAAGAUUGGACCAAUAAAUGGGCACGUUGAGGCUCUAUGACUUAAAGACCAAUCGCUAUAUCAUGCUUGAGAAUCAUUGGACAAUUAGUUGUCCACUCAUCGAUAUAGCGUAACCUAAUAAUCGAGCAUGAUGAGGUGCACGUAUAUCAAUGGGACCGCAAUAUCCAUUAGGAACCCUAGUCGCAUAAGGAUUUCUGCAUCUCCACAGGAGAGUGUGAAAGAUCUAAAAAAUAAUGAGAUAGUAUUUAUUUUUUAAAGUCCCUAGAACAAAUAGUGAUUAAGUACAAAUAUCUAAUUAGAAUCCUCUUCUCUCUUUAGUUCAUAACUCAGCUUCAAACCUCCUUAACCCGAUUUGUAGGGUUCAACCGAUUGACCAGGAUAAACUACAAACGACUGGCUUAGGAACUUCAGAAUAGUUUUGAACUCAAAAAAGAUUAGGAUAUGUUCUAGACCAAGAUUUUUUGUUACCAAAUCGUCCAACAACUGAAACGUUCAGCACUUAAUAAAUGGACGGAUGACGGCAAUUAGGUUAAGUGCUAUAUCUUGGCCUCAAGGCCCAACAUGAGGAUAUCAAGACUUUAGGACUAUGAUAACUCACCUGCAAGAGUUGUAUGGUGAGCAGAGCUAGACUGCACUCGGACAGUCCGUCCAUGAUCAUUG